This 2652-nucleotide ribosomal RNA is filed under the name Escherichia coli. Its description in RNAcentral is "partial 23S ribosomal RNA". It matches the Rfam family "Bacterial large subunit ribosomal RNA", at positions 296 to 2925 of the family's 2925-position model. The record is from RNAcentral. Lineage: Bacteria; Pseudomonadati; Pseudomonadota; Gammaproteobacteria; Enterobacterales; Enterobacteriaceae.
AGCCCAGAGCCUGAAUCAGUGUGUGUGUUAGUGGAAGCGUCUGGAAAGGCGCGCGAUACAGGGUGACAGCCCCGUACACAAAAAUGCACAUACUGUGAGCUCGAUGAGUAGGGCGGGACACGUGGUAUCCUGUCUGAAUAUGGGGGGACCAUCCUCCAAGGCUAAAUACUCCUGACUGACCGAUAGUGAACCAGUACCGUGAGGGAAAGGCGAAAAGAACCCCGGCGAGGGGAGUGAAAAAGAACCUGAAACCGUGUACGUACAAGCAGUGGGAGCCUCUUUAUGGGGUGACUGCGUACCUUUUGUAUAAUGGGUCAGCGACUUAUAUUCUGUAGCAAGGUUAACCGAAUAGGGGAGCCGAAGGGAAACCGAGUCUUAACUGGGCGUUAAGUUGCAGGGUAUAGACCCGAAACCCGGUGAUCUAGCCAUGGGCAGGUUGAAGGUUGGGUAACACUAACUGGAGGACCGAACCGACUAAUGUUGAAAAAUUAGCGGAUGACUUGUGGCUGGGGGUGAAAGGCCAAUCAAACCGGGAGAUAGCUGGUUCUCCCCGAAAGCUAUUUAGGUAGCGCCUCGUGAAUUCAUCUCCGGGGGUAGAGCACUGUUUCGGCAAGGGGGUCAUCCCGACUUACCAACCCGAUGCAAACUGCGAAUACCGGAGAAUGUUAUCACGGGAGACACACGGCGGGUGCUAACGUCCGUCGUGAAGAGGGAAACAACCCAGACCGCCAGCUAAGGUCCCAAAGUCAUGGUUAAGUGGGAAACGAUGUGGGAAGGCCCAGACAGCCAGGAUGUUGGCUUAGAAGCAGCCAUCAUUUAAAGAAAGCGUAAUAGCUCACUGGUCGAGUCGGCCUGCGCGGAAGAUGUAACGGGGCUAAACCAUGCACCGAAGCUGCGGCAGCGACACUAUGUGUUGUUGGGUAGGGGAGCGUUCUGUAAGCCUGUGAAGGUGUACUGUGAGGUAUGCUGGAGGUAUCAGAAGUGCGAAUGCUGACAUAAGUAACGAUAAAGCGGGUGAAAAGCCCGCUCGCCGGAAGACCAAGGGUUCCUGUCCAACGUUAAUCGGGGCAGGGUGAGUCGACCCCUAAGGCGAGGCCGAAAGGCGUAGUCGAUGGGAAACAGGUUAAUAUUCCUGUACUUGGUGUUACUGCGAAGGGGGGACGGAGAAGGCUAUGUUGGCCGGGCGACGGUUGUCCCGGUUUAAGCGUGUAGGCUGGUUUUCCAGGCAAAUCCGGAAAAUCAAGGCUGAGGCGUGAUGACGAGGCACUACGGUGCUGAAGCAACAAAUGCCCUGCUUCCAGGAAAAGCCUCUAAGCAUCAGGUAACAUCAAAUCGUACCCCAAACCGACACAGGUGGUCAGGUAGAGAAUACCAAGGCGCUUGAGAGAACUCGGGUGAAGGAACUAGGCAAAAUGGUGCCGUAACUUCGGGAGAAGGCACGCUGAUAUGUAGGUGAAGCGACUUGCUCGUGGAGCUGAAAUCAGUCGAAGAUACCAGCUGGCUGCAACUGUUUAUUAAAAACACAGCACUGUGCAAACACGAAAGUGGACGUAUACGGUGUGACGCCUGCCCGGUGCCGGAAGGUUAAUUGAUGGGGUUAGCGGUAACGCGAAGCUCUUGAUCGAAGCCCCGGUAAACGGCGGCCGUAACUAUAACGGUCCUAAGGUAGCGAAAUUCCUUGUCGGGUAAGUUCCGACCUGCACGAAUGGCGUAAUGAUGGCCAGGCUGUCUCCACCCGAGACUCAGUGAAAUUGAACUCGCUGUGAAGAUGCAGUGUACCCGCGGCAAGACGGAAAGACCCCGUGAACCUUUACUAUAGCUUGACACUGAACAUUGAGCCUUGAUGUGUAGGAUAGGUGGGAGGCUUUGAAGUGUGGACGCCAGUCUGCAUGGAGCCGGCCUUGAAAUACCACCCUUUAAUGUUUGAUGUUCUAACGUUGGCCCCUGACCGGGGUUGCGGACAGUGUCUGGUGGGUAGUUUGACUGGGGCGGUCUCCUCCUAAAGAGUAACGGAGGAGCACGAAGGUUGGCUAAUCCUGGUCGGACAUCAGGAGGUUAGUGCAAUGGCAUAAGCCAGCUUGACUGCGAGCGUGACGGCGCGAGCAGGUGCGAAAGCAGGUCAUAGUGAUCCGGUGGUUCUGAAUGGAAGGGCCAUCGCUCAACGGAUAAAAGGUACUCCGGGGAUAACAGGCUGAUACCGCCCAAGAGUUCAUAUCGACGGCGGUGUUUGGCACCUCGAUGUCGGCUCAUCACAUCCUGGGGCUGAAGUAGGUCCCAAGGGUAUGGCUGUUCGCCAUUUAAAGUGGUACGCGAGCUGGGUUUAGAACGUCGUGAGACAGUUCGGUCCCUAUCUGCCGUGGGCGCUGGAGAACUGAGGGGGGCUGCUCCUAGUACGAGAGGACCGGAGUGGACGCAUCACUGGUGUUCGGGUUGUCAUGCCAAUGGCACUGCCCGGUAGCUAAAUGCGGAAGAGAUAAGUGCUGAAAGCAUCUAAGCACGAAACUUGCCCCGAGAUGAGUUCUCCCUGACUCCUUGAGAGUCCUGAAGGAACGUUGAAGACGACGACGUUGAUAGGCCGGGUGUGUAAGCGCAGCGAUGCGUUGAGCUAACCGGUACUAAUGAACCGUGAGGCUUAACCUUACAACGCCGAAG